Molecule: ribosomal RNA, 253 nt
Filed under: uncultured bacterium
Lineage: Bacteria
Description: partial 16S ribosomal RNA
Rfam family: Bacterial small subunit ribosomal RNA
Source: RNAcentral
UACGUAGGGGGCAAGCGUUGUCCGGAAUCAUUGGGCGGAAAGCGCGCGUAGGCGGCCAGAUAAGUCCGGUGUGAAAGUCAAAGGCUCAACCUUUGAAUGCCGCUGGAAACUGUCUGGCUAGAGUCCGGAAGGGGCGAGUGGAACUCCUGGUGUAGCGGUGAAAUGCGCAGAUAUCAGGAAGAACACCAAUGGCGAAGGCAGCUCGCUAGGACGGUACUGACGCUGAGGCGCGAAAGCGUGGGGAGCAAACAGG